GAUGAACGCUGGCGGCGUGCCUAAUACAUGCAAGUCGAGCGAACAGACGAGGAGCUUGCUCCUCUGACGUUAGCGGCGGACGGGUGAGUAACACGUGGAUAACCUACCUAUAAGACUGGGAUAACUUCGGGAAACCGGAGCUAAUACCGGAAAAUAUAUGGAACCGCAUGGUUCAAUAGUGAAAGACGGUUUUGCUGUCACUUAUAGAUGGAUCCGCGCCGCAUUAGCUAGUGGGUAAGGUAACGGCUUACCAAGGCAACGAGGCGUAGCCCACCGGAGAGGGUGAUCGGCCACCCUGGAACUGAGCCACGGUCCCGACUCCUACGGGAGGCAGCAGUAGGGAAUCUUCCGCAAUGGGCGAAAGCUUGACGGAGCAACGCCGCGUGAGUGAUGAAGGUCUUCGGAUCGUAAAACUCUGUUAUUAGGGAAGAACAAAUGUGUAAGUAACUAUGCACGUCUUGACGGUACCUAAUCAGAAAGCCACGGCUAACUACGCG
This 497-nucleotide ribosomal RNA is filed under the name uncultured bacterium. RNAcentral's name for it is "partial 16S ribosomal RNA". It matches the Rfam family "Bacterial small subunit ribosomal RNA", at positions 28 to 507 of the family's 1533-position model. The record is from RNAcentral.